This is a long non-coding RNA of Triplophysa dalaica, 7519 nucleotides long. RefSeq lists it as uncharacterized. Lineage: Eukaryota; Metazoa; Chordata; Actinopteri; Cypriniformes; Nemacheilidae. The record is from RefSeq and is a predicted model, not a curated record. The transcript is spliced from 6 exons.
UCAAACUGCUGUAUUUGAAACAUGAAGGUAAAUGAUGACAGUUUACAUUUGUUAAACCGUUUCACUGGAGAGUACGUAAUUAUGAACCCUUUUCCCAAGAAGUUCAGGCUCUGAAUUGAUGUCAGAUGGGUAGCUGGACUUCUUCCAGUUCUUGGCAACAUUGUCAAAAGAUGCUGAUACAUGAGAUGUAAUAUGGUUAUUUUAUUCGCAAAAAAAACAUGAAAACAUGUACCAUUUCAUUUUGUUUUUUAACAAUUGGCAAAAUCAUUUCAUUUCAUUCGUUUCAUUUCAAGUAGAAAAUGUUCUCCUCCUACCAGACUCAUGAAGAAUUCUUGCUUUGUGUCGGGUCCCCCCUUUCUCGGGCUGUAGUUCCUCCAUUACUUUAACACAAUUCAGCAACUUGUCAAUGUUCUUAUAUGGAGGCCACCAGGAGUAGCCAUCUGAAUACCAGGACUUUGCAGCUAGUCCAGUCGUCCCCUCUCCCUCAAACUCCACGAUUAGAAUUUGACAGCUGUGGAGAGGUUGUCAACUAUGUAGAUGCCAAGUGCAGAGGAUGGUAGGGGAUAGUCAAAAAAGGAUUCCUGGUGGUUGAAGGUACUGUAGGCAACAUGCAUUUCAUCCCUGAAUGAAAUGAUGUUGUUCAGUUUAGCAGCUUUACCACUGAUGUAAACGAGAUGCCUAAUCCAUCUUGAAAGUGAAAGUGCUUUUUCUUUAUUCUUUGUAUUGUGCUGCUUCAUGAAAAUUUGCAGGGAUAGGACCAGUUGCAUGCAGUUUUGUCAACGCAUAUGGUUUGGUUUUGUGAGUUUUUGUACAGCAACUUUGCAUUUCAGAGAAUCUUCUGACUAUUUGACUCAGGGGGCACGUUGGUUUCCUCAGAAGUCUUUUCAGUUUGUGCAGGUGAUUCUCGUAUUUAAAAGCGCUGAAUUUGUCCAGGAUGCCAUGCUGUUUGCAUCGACUGCAAGGUGUACAAGUCAGUGUGCAUUGUAGGACAGGAAUUUUGGACCAUACAGCUGACCAAAGUGGGUGACAAAUAGAGCCAGUAUGUCAUUGGCAUACUCACAGUAAUGUUCUUUAAACUGUUGAUACAAAGGAUGAAAAUUCCCACAUAAAGCAACAUGAAGUUUUUGUACACUUCUGUGCUGAGGAGAUCUUUUAACAUGACCGGUCCAGUAUACAGUACAAACUGCCUGAACUCCGUUGCCUUCCACCUAUCAAUUUCCAUCAGUGUCCUUGGUUUCCUUGCAAACUCCAUGAGUAAAUUACUCUGAGCACUCACCAACCUUUCUGUUGAGGUGUUUAUUUGAAACCCUGACAGUCUACAGGUAAGAGGACCUAACCAUUAACUCAUUCCCCGCCAGCCUUUAAAAAAAAAUAGUUGCUAGCCUACGGCAGGUUUUUUUUACAUUUUCACCAACUUUUAAUGGCUCACAGUAAAUUUUCUGGAAAGAAUAUAUGGACAAACGAUAGGUCAAAUGAAAGAACAGAGUCUCAGCUUUUAAACAAAAGAAACCGUAUUCUUCUAUCUUCUAUCUUCAUUUAUUCAUUUUUUAUCACUCCGUAGAUGAGGGUAGGUUUCUUCAAAAAUGUAUCACUUUGAUUAAACAGCUGAGAUAAUUAACGUUUUUGUCAGUUUCUGCCCAGAUUACACUCAUUAAAAACCGCUAAAACAUAUACGUUCUAGGUUCUGGGAUUCUGUACUUUUUCCCAAAGGUGUGUAAUAGCGCCACCUGCUGUAUAACAGUAUAACAUUUACAUUUAUUCAUUUGGAAGAUGCUUUUAUCCAAAGCUACUUACAAGUAGGGUGCAGUGGGCAGCUAUCACUGCAGAGCAAACAGGGGUAAGGUGCCUUGCUCAAGGACACUUCAUUUCAUUUCCUGGUGGCACUGAGAAUUGAACCAGCGACCUUCUGGCUACGAGUCGAAGUUUCUAACCACUAGACCACAACUGACCCUGAUAAACACUGAUUGCCGUACUAACUCGUCUUUGGCGGGGAACCAUUUUUUUAAAAUGACGAGAUAACUCGUCAAUGGCGGUGAAAGAGUUAAUUACAAGUGCAAAAGCCGCCUCAUGAUUCCAAGACAUACAAGGUGCAUGUAAUCAAGGGGAAACCCAGAGACCAUAUCUAGAGAAAUUUGUUCUAGAGGUGAGGUACCAUGAUGAUGAUCUGAAUCUGUCCUGUUCCUUUAACUCUCAUUGGUUCUUAAAGGCAUGUCAUUACUUGGAAAUGUCAUUCUGUUUUCCAGGUACAUGCCUUCUUGUGUGCAUUUUUCACAUCCGUGAUAGCCUGUGUGUCCUUUUAAAUUUUGAAGGAAUGCACAGGCAGUUGCAUCGAAAGCCAUGCAAGAGAGCUCUAAAAACAACUUCACACCUUCAAAUUCAAAUCCCUUAGCAAGUUCAUUGACUUCAGAGAUGAAGUCUUCAAGAUACUCAUCCAAUGAGGUGGGUUUACAGGUGCCACAAAAUAAACCUAUUGUCACAGGUUCUUUGUGAGGUAGAUGUUGCACUGUACCUAGAAUGGGCCAGAACUGUUUUGCUGAACUUUUGAAGAGAGGCAAACCAUCAAUGUUGACCUGAAGCUCCAACUUGUUGAUGUUGCUCAAAAUGUAGAUGUUCUGGUGUAGCACUUCAGCAAACCAUAAUGGUAAUACUUGCCACUAGCCUUGUCCUGUAGUUCUGUGGAACGCACAGUUCCUAACAAUGUUAGAGUCUUUUGGCAUAGUUAAAUUGUGUUUGAUUAGUAUGUGAUGUAGAGAAUUCAAUGCCACAUGUGUGAUUUUGUGUUCAGUAGCCCAGGUUGCCAAAUCAUCUUCCAGGGAAGUUGAAUCAGAUUCUGAAUCAGUGUCCGAUUCGCUGUCAUCAAGAACACUUGAAAUAUACUCAGUUUAAUCGUUUGAGAGAGACAGUCCAUAAAUACAUCAUCGUCAUUUUGACAGGUGCUGCUGCCAGACUCUUCUGGCCUUGGUAUUGCUUCGAUUGACUGCAGUUGCUUUUACAGUUUGCCCUUCUCCUUAGUGUCCAGUAAGAUGGUUUAUUGCCAACUAACCCUAACCAUACUAUUAUGAUAUUAACAUUAAUACAUUGCUGUUGUUUUUGUUUAAUUACUGACCUACCAAUGAUUGUAUAUGUACACAAAUGAUCAUCAUACCUUUGGUAGGUGGAUUUGUGGCUGUGGAUAACCUUAUGCAGUCAGACAGUGCUGAAAUGUAUAUUAAUUUGUAUAAUGUAUAUCAUUUUCAAUUAGGUUUUGAUUUUAUGCAGUUUUUUUUAGACAGAGAAUUAUGCACUUACGGAAAGUAUUCAGAUCCCCUUAAAUUUUUCACACUUUGUUAUAUUGCAGCCAUUUGCUAAAAUUUCCUCAUUAAUGUACACACAACACCCCAUAUUGACAGAAAAACACAGAAUUGUUGACAUUUUUGCAGAUUUAUUAAAAAAGAAAAACUGAAAUAUCACAUGGUCUUAAGUAUUCAUACCCUUUGCUCAGUAUUUAGUAGAAGCACCAUUUUGAUUUAAUACAGCCAUGAGUCUUUUUGGGAAAGAUGCAACAAGUUUUUCACACCUGGAUUUGGGGAUCCUCUGCCAUUUCUCCUUGCAGAUCCUCUCCAGUUCUGUCAGAUUGGAUGGUAAACGUUGGUGGAAAUGUGAUAUGGUCUGUUUGACAUGUGGCGCUGGUCAAACCGAUCGGCCUGUGCUGUCACAGUACCGCGAGAGGAAUUUCAGAGGCUCGGGCAGUGUGCUUUGGAAUCGCUCUCGCGUUACUAUGAUGUCAUAUUCUGAUCGAUCUGCGGAAGGCCUCAAGAAGUCUAAACACAAUGACGUACCAUGUGAAUUUCCAUAUGGAGUAAUGCAGAAACGUGCUUAAAACCCGCCCCCAUUGACCCAGAAGAAAAACCUUAUAUUAGCCCGCAGGUAACAGCCCAUUAUUUUUAUGCUUCAGAAACAAUUACAAUAAGGCAUAUUGAAUUUGACAUUACAAUUUCUAAGAAAGACAAGAGCACAAAUAAAACAAAAAAGAAAAUACAUUAAGAAAUACACCCAUCCAAUUACUGAGUGAAGGAUAAAUAAAUAAAAUCAGACACAAAGAUAGAAAAAAUAAAAGUGAAAAUCUAUUAACCUACAUAACAUCAGGGUUUUCUAAAAGCUCAAACACUUCAACCAAUUUAAAUAGUUUUCUUCCGACUUAAAGAUUAACAGUAAAUCCAAAAUUCUUUUUGAAAAAUCUUACACUUAUGAAUAUCGAAUUUCCCCAAAAUAAGGAUACUCCUUUAUAAUAACUCCAAAAAAUAUAUCCCUUUUGGAAAAAGCCAAUAGAUCAAUUGAAUUAUUUAGACACUCAUACAAAUCAGACCAAAAAGCUCUACUGUAUUGACAAACAAAAAAUAAAUGUGCUGUUGUUUCAAUUUCUGAAUCACAAAACUUACAUAUAUUAUGAUCAAUAAUAAACCUAUAUCUAAGAAAUUCCAAGGAAGGAUAAAUAUCAUUAAAUACUUUAUAAUGUACUUACUUGGCUUUGGGAUGUAUAGGAAAGGAAAGAUACAUGGUUCUUAAUUUUUUAAGAGAGCUCUUUGAAACAAACUGAAUCACAUUAUUUCGAUUACACUGAGCUGAAAAUUGAUCAUGAAUAAGUAAAGUUCGUAUUACUUUGUUUGGAAAACUACUCCAGUGUUUGAUGCUAAAAAGUUUUUAUCAGAUUAAUUUUUUGGGUCAACAAAAGUAUGUCAUAUUUACCUAGAGAAUAAAUAAUUUUGAGCUCAACUGUACGUGUAAAUCAUAAAUUAUCAUAGUAUGUCUUUCAUUGAUUGACAAUCUAUUCACCUUAAAAAUAUCAUUUAUUAUCCAUAAUAACGGUUUUCACGAUCCAUAAUUUUUUUCAUUACAACACAUUUGAACAAAUGCUAAUAAAUACUUUUACUUUAAAUAGCCAGGUGUUUUCUUGCUCAUCUGGCUGAAAGUCGAUGGUACAUCUGGAGCUGAGGUUAGUGGGAUUAAAAGGUUUUGCUUGUAACUUGUUAUAUCAGUUCAAUAUUUUAUAUUUAAUUACAGAAAAUGCUUUUUGUAGUUAGUAUUUAAUUAUGGAUGUUAAAAUUCCUGGACAUUUAUCCGAGUUUCAUUUGUCCAAAUGAUAAUAUACAUUUUAUUUUGGUUACCCUUAGAAUUAUGGCUUGAUGUUUGGUUCACCCAUUAUCUGGAAAUGGUGCCUCCAUCUGGAUAUUUCCGCAACCAGUCAAUGAAUAGAGGGUAUGGAUGUGUCGUCACUUUACCACCUGAGCACGCCGGAGCGCGCCCCAAUGGGUUGCAGAACACUCAGCUAAAUAACUGCUUACAAAGGAAUCAGGUUUUCCUGGACACUGAAAUGUUGCAUGGAAUUGCUUUUCCUGAUAUUCCAUUUUGUUGCGUGUUUUACCACUCAGGGGAACAUGUCCUGGACCUCAAGGGGGCGUGUCCCGUCUAUGCAUACCCUCUAUAGAGGACACCAUCAGUGGCCAUUUGAAUACAUCAAGUUUGCGACCGGUCCGGUUGUCUAAUUAUCAGGGACAUUUUAUGUCUUAUAAAAUGGUUAGUUCUGGUCCUUGGUUCUGGUAGUGCUCGGUUCUAAGCCAUUAUAUAUUUUCUAAACACGCACAAAUGACCACAUUACAUACAAAUCACCGUGCCACUGUUUGUUGGUGUGUCUGUGUUGAUUUCGACCAUUUUGUUCUUUCUGUUUUUCAGGAACUACAUUGUUUGGCAUAGUAAUAUUUAUUAUUAAUAUAAAUACAUAUACAUAUAUCCAUGUAAAUCUAAUUAUUAGAAAUGCAUGUAAACAAAUUACUAGAAAGGGGUGCCAUGCUUUCAAAAAGUUUGGGAACCACUGAUUUAUCCUGACAUACUGUACAUGUUUACUACAAAUAUUUUGUGUUGCCUACUUGGAACACUGCACAACCAAUCAGAAUGAAGAACCAAAACUAACAGACAAAAUAUUUUGCAGAUUUUUAACUGAUCUUUAUUCUACAGCCAGCACACUACACUUCUUGGAUGUUUUAGCUGUGGAAAGUGCGACACAUCCACCUCCCAACCUCCUCCCAGGGCUUCUGCUGCAUCUGUGAGAAUCUGCAUCCCACCUGGACGGACCACCUCGAUACGUCCCAAAAACUACACACACAACCCAGAGACCACUAUGUAUUGUAAGUGACGAUCCCCACUAUAUAACCCCUUCAUUGCAAUAAAUUAAGUAAUUUGAAGAGGAUUAUUCAGUACAAAUACAACGUCAAAUAUUGACUAUGGUUAACAAGAUGCUUUCCCAGCUAACACACGACGUACCCGUUACGUAAUUUAUUGGUCAUUUUUGGUAAUUUCAAGACUUGCCAGCUGACAACGUAGCUGGCACGUCCCAUGCUCUUUAUCAUUAAAUGACCAAUUCAUGACGUCGCCUAAACGAACUCAUGACGUUACAAGAUAAACAAGGACGAUCCAGUUACUUAAAACAUCUGUACUAUUUUGGUAAUAGCAUGACCUACAGGUAAAGUUAAUGGCACGUUCCUGGCACGUAAUGUCAUUACCAAUAAUUUGUUGAUUUACAUUAACGAUUUACAUGGCGUUUACUUUUGAAAUGUGUGUCUUUACAACGUUUUUAGUCAGGAUAUUGUACAUCUGUUGAUUAAAUAAGCCAAGCGAUAUUUAAUACGCCACAUGCAGGCAGCUCUCUGUUAUGGGAAUGUAACAGUGCGCGCCUCCUUAACACUCAAGUUCAUAACUGGCGCGCACCUCGAUCUUGCGCGCUCAAGUUUAGAACAGCGCGUGCCCAGCAGAGCUGCGUCCAACAGUUUCUCCGAAAAUGUCGUCUGACAGCAGCAACAACACUUUUUUGAUGGGCUUUCGUACUGACAGUAAUUAAAGUUCCUCUGACAGGAAGUUUCUUUUAUCAGUUCAGGUACACAGCAAACAGGUACACAUUACACGGCGCCUGGAGAUGACGUAUGAUAACUCUGCAUAAAAAGACCAGCCAUCACAUAAAGUAUAUUUGAGGUGUUUUUUGCUAUAUUUAUGCUUCUGUAAUUAUAUCUGUCGUGAAUCAUUCUCGAUGCUGUUUUAAAUAAAGUUUUAAAUGAGUCUGUUGUAUGAAGUUAAGUAUCUGAACAAACACUUGUUUUUCAUUGUAAUGAUUUAAACAUGCUUGUAUACUGUUUUAAACGCGAUUUGAUAUGUCGCUGUUAAUAUGGUUUUAUCUAUAUAAAUGAAAAGUUUUCCAACUCUGAGUCUGUGUCAUUUUAUGUUAUUUUAUGUUAAGUCUCUAAUAUAGUUAUGGGCAAAUAAGGACAGGUUAAAUUAGUUUUGCUGCAUGUCCGCCCAAAGAAUAUUAGAUCAAAUAUUUAAAUUACUAACUGGUUCCCAUCACAUUUUUUUAUCCAUUACGUUGUAACGACAUGACCAAGAACGGCAGUAUACGUCACGAGAUCACUUUUCGGUCGACAAGACGUAACGUCGCCACGACGUAAAUUUGGUCAAAAGAUAACGUUGACGUUACGUAACAGUCACGUAUUUU